Molecule: RNA transcript, 1156 nt
Organism: Eutrema salsugineum
Lineage: Eukaryota; Viridiplantae; Streptophyta; Magnoliopsida; Brassicales; Brassicaceae
Gene name: nucleolar protein 58
Exons: 3
Source: RefSeq, a predicted model, not a curated record
UGUCAGGCGUUAGAGAGAAAUUGAUUGCCCUAGUUUGUGUAGAGGCGCGACGAUUCUUCGAGCUACUCCCGAUGAAGACCGUCACCGGAAGAGUUGUCAGCGCCGAACCAAUCUCCCUAUCUAAGGCGGCUACGAUUCUCUCGAGAUUCGUUACCUCUGAGAACGGCGCCUCUCAAGAUGUUAGCGCGUACCUUCGACGCGCCGCCGCUGCCUUCACCGAGUCAAAGAGCUUCCACAAAGAGAUUAGCUCGUCUUCACUAAAGGAGACGAAGACGAGAUCCAACGCAAGGAAUGAGCGGAAUCAGACUGUCGAAUUCGAGGAGCCGGGUCGAGCUAAGGGGAAUGAUGAUUCGGUGGAAAACGGAGGGGAGAUUCGUUUUCGGAAAAGUGAAGCUGUGAGCGAAGAGGAAUCGAUUAAGGAGGGCAUGAAGAAGAAGAGCAAGAAGAACAAAGAAGAAGAUGUUGUUGACGAGAAGGUGAAGGAGAAUUUAGAAGACGAGCAAAGGAAUGAAGAGAAAAAGGAGAGAAAGAAGAACAAGAAGAGCAAGAAGGAUAAAGAAGAAGACGUUAUUGACAAGAAGGUGAAUAAGAAGAAGAGGAAGAGUGAUGGAGAGAUGGGUUCGGAUGAGAAGAAGAGCAAGAAAAAGAAGAAAUCGAAGGAGAUUGAUGGUUAAAGUUGGUUCAUUUUGAGAUUUUAGCUGAAGAUUGGAGACAAUUUUGUAGUGGAGUUUAAUGGAUUUUUCACAAGUUUUUGGGAAUUGACCUCAUGUCAAACUGAUAAAUGGCCGGGGAAAAAAACCAAGAAAAAAAUGCGUGAAGCUUGGAAGAAUGAAGAGACAAGAAACAAACAAAAAAAAAAGGAAAAGGAAUUUGAAUCAUGAAGCAAGAAUUUUCAGCAUUUUGGCAAGUCUGCAGGAGGAGGAAGAAGUUUCUGAUUAGGCUUAUCUCCAUCAAGAACAAGCCAAGCCAUCCUCAGACCCCAACUGGAAUCGGAUAGCAGCCCAUCCACCAGAUGGCACACCGACUGUGUUCCUCUCUAUGGGAUCAACAAGAUUGAAGUUUUUGGGAUCCUUGUUCGGGUCGAAGUUCCCAAAUCCUUGGCCAACGACGAAGAAGUUGAACCCAUGAAGGUGAAGAGGAUGGCUCUCUGCACCAA